GACGAACGCUGGCGGCGUGCUUAACACAUGCAAGUCGAACGAUGAAGCAAAGAAUCGAAGCUUCGGCAGAAAUUCAUUUCGGAUUAGUGGCAGACGGGUGAGUAACGCGUGAGCAACCUACCUCUUACAAAGGGAUAGCCUCGGGAAACCGGGAUUAAUACCAUAUAACAUUGUGACGAAGCAUUUCGAUGCAAUCAAAGCUACGGCGGUAAGAGAUGGGCUCGCGUCCCAUUAACCGGAUGGUGAGGUAACGGCUCACCAUAGUGACGAUGGGUAACCGGCCUGAGAGGGUGAACGGUCACACUGGAACUGAGACACGGUCCAGACUCCUACGGGAAGCAGCAGUGGGGAAUAUUGCACAAUGGAGGGAACUCUGAUGCAGCGACGCCGCGUGAGUGAUGAAGGAAUUCGUUUCGUAAAACUCUGUUCUAUGGGAAGAAAAGGACUGUACCAUAGGAGAAAGCUCCGGCUAAAUACGUG
Molecule: ribosomal RNA, 480 nt
Filed under: uncultured bacterium
Lineage: Bacteria
Description: partial 16S ribosomal RNA
Rfam family: Bacterial small subunit ribosomal RNA
Source: RNAcentral